AACAACAAAUCAAAGGUUAAAGAGAAACAAGUAGAUGAGUUGCAUGAACAUAAGGAAAAUACCUGCCAAGAAAGUGAAGAUAUUUUGUGAAUUAUUGUUUGAUAUGUAUUAUUAUUUGAUAUGUACUAUUGUGAAAGUUUAAUAUGCCUGCAAUGUUGAUUUGGGGUACAAUGACUGUUGUGUUGAUUCAUGUGUUCGUUUAUUUUUAUUUUUAUUUUUUUUGAAUUUGUAACUUGUUUGAUAAAAUUUCACAUUGAAUAGUUAAAUUUUGUAUGUUGUACAGCGAACAUUCCUAAAAGGAAAGCUCAGGAAAUGGGUGGUUCAUCGACUAAUUUGCCUACUGUUGGAGGAAUUCAGAGCUACCUGCCGUUACGGGAUCCAUUGUUGUCGACGCGAAGAAGUUACAUAAGGUGAAAAGGAAGGCUGCAUUGUUGAAUUAUAAACAACUUAAAGUGAAG
RNAcentral lists this long non-coding RNA (458 nucleotides) under Salvia miltiorrhiza (redroot sage). Its description in RNAcentral is "long non-coding RNA (SMIL_LNC010554)". The record is from RNAcentral. Lineage: Eukaryota; Viridiplantae; Streptophyta; Magnoliopsida; Lamiales; Lamiaceae.